Molecule: ribosomal RNA, 114 nt
Filed under: uncultured Alphaproteobacteria bacterium
Lineage: Bacteria; Pseudomonadati; Pseudomonadota; Alphaproteobacteria
Source: RNAcentral
UGGUGGUUAUGGCACGAGUGAACCACCCGAUCCCAUCUCGAACUCGACCGUGAAACCUCGUCGCGCUGAUGGUACUGCAUCUUAAGGUGUGGGAGAGUAAGUCGCUGCCAGGCC